Molecule: ribosomal RNA, 774 nt
Filed under: uncultured Neocallimastigales
Lineage: Eukaryota; Fungi; Neocallimastigomycota; Neocallimastigomycetes; Neocallimastigales
Description: partial large subunit ribosomal RNA
Rfam family: Eukaryotic large subunit ribosomal RNA
Source: RNAcentral
UCAGACGAUGCGUCAUGCAUAUCAAUAAGCGGAGGAAAAGAAACUAACAAGGAUUCCCCUAGUAACGGCGAGUGAAGCGGGAAGAGCUCAAAUUUGAAAUCUUAAAGGGUUUCCCUUUACGAAUUGUAGUUUAAAGAAGUGUUUUCUGUUGAGGUUUUGGUAAAAGUUCUUUGGAAUAGGACAUCAUAGAGGGUGAGAAUCCCGUAUUUGACCUUUACUUUCAACUUUGUGAUACACUUUCAAAGAGUCGGAUUGUUUGGGAAUGCAGUCCAAAAUGGGUGGUAAAUUUCAUCUAAAGCUAAAUAUUGGCGAGAGACCGAUAGCGAACAAGUACCGUGAGGGAAAGAUGAAAAGAACUUUGAAAAGAGAGUUAAACAGUACGUGAAAUUGUCAAAAGGGAAGCGUUUGACACCAGUGUUGUUUUUCUGGAAAUCAAUUAAAGAACUGUUUAUGCUAAGCUGUUUAGACUUUAUCAGCUAUCUGUUUAGUUUUGAGCUUUUCUUUAAUGCACUUUUCAGUUAACAAGUCAACAUCAAUUUCUUUUGCUGUAAAAAAGCUUGAGGAAGGUGGCUUGAGAUUCGUCUUAAGUGUUUAUAGCCUCUUGCCUAUGCAGUCGGAGAGAUUGAGGUCUGCAGCGUAGAUCCUUCGGGGCUAAAUGCAUUUGUGCUAAGUUAUAGCAUUUUAUAGACAACUUGUUGACUAUGAUUUGUCUUGUAGCUUACUCGCUUAUGUUAUUUUACCUACGCUUAGGAUGUUGACACACGCGCGUGCUCG